AUGAAUGUGCACUCUGCCAAGAACAAGUUGAGGAAACAUCUCCACAUCUCCUCUGAGGCUGUCAAUUUGCUCUUUCUUGCUGGGAUAUUAUUGCUCCAAACAGACACACAUGAGUUUCUGCUUUUGAUGAUAUCAUCUUUCUCAAACAAUGUUUCCACCCCAGAUUGCCAUGGGCAUUGUUACUAUGGGAUGUUGAAACAUAUGGAUGCAAAGAAAUGGGAAAAUCUUCAAUAA
RNAcentral lists this ribosomal RNA (234 nucleotides) under Triticum aestivum (bread wheat). RNAcentral describes it as "partial small subunit ribosomal RNA". Lineage: Eukaryota; Viridiplantae; Streptophyta; Magnoliopsida; Poales; Poaceae. The record is from RNAcentral.